ACUGCUCAGUAACACGUGGAUAACCUGCCCUUGGGUCCGGCAUAACCCCGGGAAACUGGGGAUAAUUCCGGAUAACGCACAUAUGCUGGAAUGCUUUAUGCGUAAAAUGGAUUCGUCUGCCCAAGGAUGGGUCUGCGGCCUAUCAGGUAGUAGUGGGUGUAAUGUACCUACUAGCCAACGACGGGUACGGGUUGUGAGAGCAAGAGCCCGGAGAUGGAUUCUGAGACAUGAAUCCAGGCCCUACGGGGCGCAGCAGGCGCGAAAACUUUACAAUGCGGGAAACCGUGAUAAGGGGACACCGAGUGCCAGCAUCAUAUGCUGGCUGUCCAGGUGUGUAAAAUACACCUGUCAGCAAGGGCCGGGCAAGACCGGUGCCAGCCGCCGCGGUAACACCGGCGGCCCGAGUGGUGAUCGUGAUUAUUGGGUCUAAAGGGUCCGUAGCCGGUUUGGUCAGUCCUCCGGGAAAUCUGACGGCUCAACCGUUAGGCUUUCGGGGGAUACUGCCAGGCUUGGAACCGGGAGAGGUAAGAGGUACUACAGGGGUAGGAGUGAAAUCUUGUAAUCCCUGUGAGACCACCUGUGGCGAAGGCGUCUUACCAGAACGGGUUCGACGGUGAGGGACGAAAGCUGGGGGCACGAACCGGAUUAGAUACCCGGGUAGUCCCAGCCGUAAACGAUGCUCGUUAGGUGUCAGGCAUGGCGCGACCGUGUCUGGUGCCGCAGGGAAGCCGUGAAGCGAGCCACCUGGGAAGUACGGCCGCAAGGCUGAAACUUAAAGGAAUUGGCGGGGGAGCAC
This 796-nucleotide ribosomal RNA is filed under the name uncultured archaeon. RNAcentral describes it as "bacterial SSU rRNA". It matches the Rfam family "Archaeal small subunit ribosomal RNA", at positions 85 to 879 of the family's 1478-position model. The record is from RNAcentral.